GAAAAACUGUUGUGUCAAUCAACUUGUAUAUCUCAUCGAUUCAUCUAUGGUAGAGCUACAUAUUUAUAGGCUUACAAGAUAGGAGAUUAAGUAUUACAUUUACAACAUAUGAAUAAAUUACAAGCACUAACUACAAAUAUUUAAGACAUAAGUUAUAUAGAAUUAAAAAGGGUAGAAUGCUAAAAUGUAUGGUGGUUAUCCACCA
RNAcentral lists this long non-coding RNA (205 nucleotides) under Prunus persica (peach). Its description in RNAcentral is "long non-coding RNA (PPER_LNC007169)". The record is from RNAcentral. Lineage: Eukaryota; Viridiplantae; Streptophyta; Magnoliopsida; Rosales; Rosaceae.